UCUGUUGGUAGCAACAGCAAUAUGCACUACUUGAAUAGCAAGGCUGGUUAAUUUGCAUAUUCUGUUUUUUGUGUGUUUUUUUUUUUAAUUGGGGUAGCCUCCAAAAUAUUGGGACAUGUAAAAAAGACAACUCUGUUCCGCAGAGUAGCUGUUGACGUUAUAGUUGUGCAGGCACUUUGUUGACUCUAGAGAACCUCGGGCCAAUCGCACAUCCCCGUGGCGGCGACUUUGCAUGCGGAUUUCAUCCAUAUUAACUUUCGAUGCCAGUUUCUGCGCCUACCAUGGUGACCACAGGUAAUGGGGAAUCAGGGUUCCAUUCCGUACAGGGACCCUGAGAAAUGGCUACCACAUGCAAGGAAGGCAGCAGGCGCGCAAAUGACCGACUCCCGACGCGGGAAGGUAGUGAUGACAAAUUACAAUUACAGGGCCUCUAAAGAGUCCUGUAUUGUUAUGAGUCCAGUUGAAAUCCUUUAUCUCUGAUCAAUUGGAGGGAAGUCUGGUGCAGAGCCACUGACCCGUGCGUGCUGCAGCUGAAACUCCACUA
This 544-nucleotide ribosomal RNA is filed under the name Pelobates cultripes (western spadefoot toad). RNAcentral describes it as "SSU_rRNA_eukarya". It matches the Rfam family "Eukaryotic small subunit ribosomal RNA", at positions 145 to 587 of the family's 1831-position model. The record is from RNAcentral. Lineage: Eukaryota; Metazoa; Chordata; Amphibia; Anura; Pelobatidae.